GGCCGACUAGCUCAGUUGGUUAGAGCGUCGUGCUAAUAUCCUGUGAUACAAUGUAUAUUACUAUUAACGCGAAGGUCUUGGGUUCGAUCCCCACGUUGGCCA
Non-coding RNA from Rhodocollybia butyracea, 102 nucleotides. The record is from the annotation of a GenBank genome assembly. Lineage: Eukaryota; Fungi; Basidiomycota; Agaricomycetes; Agaricales; Omphalotaceae.